This 401-nucleotide ribosomal RNA is filed under the name uncultured bacterium. RNAcentral describes it as "bacterial SSU rRNA". It matches the Rfam family "Bacterial small subunit ribosomal RNA", at positions 355 to 773 of the family's 1533-position model. The record is from RNAcentral.
UGGGGAAUCUUGCACAAUGGGGGCAACCCUGAUGCAGCGACGCCGCGUGAGCGAUGAAGCCCUUCGGGGCGUAAAGCUCUUUCGACCGGAACGAUAAUGACGGUACCGGGAGAAGAAGCUGCGGCUAACUACGUGCCAGCAGCCGCGGUAAUACGUAGGCAGCAAGCGUUGUUCGGAGUUACUGGGCGUAAAGAGUGCGUAGGCGGUUUUCUAAGUUCGGUGUGAUAUCUCCCGGCUUAACUGGGAGGGUGCGCCGAAGACUGGGAAGCUGGAGUGUGGGAAAGGCAGGCGGAAUUCCUGGUGUAGCGGUGAAAUGCGUAGAUAUCAGGAGGAACACCGGCGGUGUAGACGGCUUGCUAGACCAUAACUGACGCUGAGGCACGAAAGCGUGGGUAGCAAAC